AUAGGGUCAAGCGAACAAGUGCAUGUGGUGGAUGCCUUGGCGAUCACAGGCGAUGAAGGACGCGGUAGCCUGCGAAAAGCGGUGGGGAGCUGGCAAACGAGCUUUGAUCCACCGAUAUCCGAAUGGGGAAACCCGGCCCGUAUGGGUCAUCCGUAGCUGAAUACAUAGGCUACGUGAAGCGAACGCGGUGAACUGAAACAUCUAAGUAACCGCAGGAAAAGAAAUCAACCGAGAUUCCCAGAGUAGUGGCGAGCGAAAUGGGACCAGCCUGUACUCUUUAUCUUCAUUGUUAGUCGAAGGCUCUGGAAAGUGCCGCCAUAGCAGGUGAUAGCCCUGUAGACGAAAACAGCGAGGAAGAACUAGGUGUACGACAAGUAGGGCGGGACACGUGAAAUCCUGUCUGAAGAUGGGGGGACCAUCCUCCAAGGCUAAAUACUCGUGAUCGACCGAUAGUGAACCAGUACCGUGAGGGAAAGGCGAAAAGAACCCCGGGAGGGGAGUGAAACAGAUCCUGAAACCGCAUGCAUACAAACAGUCGGAGCCUCUGCGAAGGGGUGACGGCGUACCUUUUGUAUAAUGGGUCAGCGACUUACAUUCAGUGGCAAGCUUAACCGAUUAGGGCAGGCGUAGCGAAAGCGAGUCCGAACAGGGCGAUUCAGUCGCUGGGUGUAGACCCGAAACCAGGUGAUCUAUCCAUGGCCAGGAUGAAGGUGCGGUAACACGUACUGGAGGUCCGAACCCACUAACGUUGAAAAGUUAGGGGAUGAGCUGUGGAUAGGGGUGAAAGGCUAAACAAACCUGGAAAUAGCUGGUUCUCUCCGAAAACUAUUUAGGUAGUGCCUCGUGUAUCACCUUCGGGGGUAGAGCACUGUCAUGGUUGUGGGGUCCAUUGCGGAUUACUACGCCAUAGCAAACUCCGAAUACCGAAGAGUGCAAUCACGGGAGACAGACAUCGGGUGCUAACGUCCGGUGUCAAGAGGGAAACAACCCAGACCGCCAGCUAAGGUCCCCAAAUAUUGCUAAGUGGGAAACGAAGUGGGAAGGCUAAAACAGUCAGGAGGUUGGCUUAGAAGCAGCCAUCCUUUAAAGAAAGCGUAAUAGCUCACUGAUCGAGUCGUCCUGCGCGGAAGAUGUAACGGGGCUAAGCAAUAUACCGAAGCUGCGGAUGCACAUUUAUGUGCAUGGUAGGAGAGCGUUCCGUAAGCCUGCGAAGGUGCACUGGAAAGUGUGCUGGAGGUAUCGGAAGUGCGAAUGCUGACAUGAGUAGCGAUAAAGGGGGUGAAAAGCCCCCUCGCCGUAAGCCCAAGGUUUCCUACGCAACGUUCAUCGGCGUAGGGUGAGUCGGCCCCUAAGGCGAGGCAGAAAUGCGUAGCUGAUGGGAAGCAGGUUAAUAUUCCUGCACCAUUGUUAAAUGCGAUGGGGGACGGAUCGCGGAAGGUUGUCCGGGUGUUGGAAGUCCCGGUCCUUGCAUUGGAGAAGGCGCUUUGGCAAAUCCGGGCGCAGGAUUCAAGGGUGCGAGGCCAUUCACUUCGGUGAAGAAGCAAUCGGAAGUGGUUCCAAGAAAAGCCUCUAAGCUUCAGUUUAACAAGACCGUACCGCAAACCGACACAGGUGGGCGAGAUGAGUAUUCUAAGGCGCUUGAGAGAACUCGGGAGAAGGAACUCGGCAAAUUGGUACCGUAACUUCGGGAUAAGGUACGCCCCUGUAGCCUGAUGCGCCUGCGCGCAGAGGGUGAAGGGGUUGCAAUAAACUGGUGGCUGCGACUGUUUAAUAAAAAACACAGCACUCUGCAAACACGAAAGUGGACGUAUAGGGUGUGACGCCUGCCCGGUGCCGGAAGAUUAAAUGAUGGGGUGCAAGCUCUUGAUUGAAGUCCCGGUAAACGGCGGCCGUAACUAUAACGGUCCUAAGGUAGCGAAAUUCCUUGUCGGGUAAGUUCCGACCUGCACGAAUGGCGUAACGAUGGCCACACUGUCUCCUCCCGAGACUCAGCGAAGUUGAAGUGUUUGUGAUGAUGCAAUCUCCCCGGCGGCUUAGACGGAAAGACCCCAUGAACCUUUACUGUAGCUUUGCAUUGGACUUUGAACCGGUCUGUGUAGGAUAGGUGGGAGGCUUUGAAGCGUGGACGCCAGUCUGCGUGGAGCCGCCCUGAAAUACCACCCUGGUUUGUUUGAGGUUCUAAAACCUUGGUCGUAAUCCGGAUCGGGGACAGUGCAUGGUAGGCAGUUGACUGGGGGCGGGUCUCCUCCCAAAGUGUUAACGGAGGAGUACGAAGGUACGCUAGGUACGGUCGGAAAUCGUGCUGAUAGUGCAAUGGCAUAAGCGUGCUUAACUGCGAGACCGACAAGUCGAGCAGGUGCGAAAGCAGGUCAUAGUGAUCCGGUGGUUCUGUAUGGAAGGGCCAUCGCUCAA
RNAcentral lists this ribosomal RNA (2412 nucleotides) under Paraburkholderia sp. BL27I4N3. RNAcentral's name for it is "bacterial LSU rRNA". It matches the Rfam family "Bacterial large subunit ribosomal RNA", at positions 1 to 2452 of the family's 2925-position model. The record is from RNAcentral. Lineage: Bacteria; Pseudomonadati; Pseudomonadota; Betaproteobacteria; Burkholderiales; Burkholderiaceae.